Tripterygium wilfordii is the source of this 1714-nucleotide RNA transcript. RefSeq lists it as uncharacterized. NCBI's taxonomy places the organism in Eukaryota, Viridiplantae, Streptophyta, Magnoliopsida, Celastrales, Celastraceae. The record is from RefSeq and is a predicted model, not a curated record. The transcript is spliced from 3 exons.
CAGACCUAGACGAGCUCAGCUGCUCCCUCUCCCUCUCCCUCUCCCUCUCUAGGAACUUUCACUCUUUAAUCCGAAGAUAAUUGCCGAGUCGAAACGAUUACGACGACCGACUUUUCGCGUUGAGGGAGAGAUUUCUAUUCUUCCGUAGACUGACUUCCGUUGCCUAGUGGAAGCGUCAAAGUACUCUUUUUGUGUUUGAUUUUGAUAUAUAAACAUGCCAAAGGAGAGAAGAGACCGUUCUGUGUCUUUUGAUAGAUUCCGGACCUCUUAUCCGUGUAGUUCUAGUCAUGCUGGACGAUCUUCGGCCCAAAUCCCUCUAGAAACUGAAGAGAAUUUCAAGGAAUGGGAAGAAGCUAGGUGCCCUGUCUGCAUGGAGCAUCCUCACAAUGCAGUUUUACUUAUAUGUUCUUCCCAUGAGAAAGGCUGCCGCCCUUACAUGUGCGACACCAGUUAUCGCCACUCCAACUGUCUUGAUCAGUUUCACAAGUCAUUUGCAGAAAGCUCAUCCACAACAGCAUUACCAGAAGAAACUCAGCUCCCAACCGUCAAUUUAUCUGAAGUUGUACCUUUAGAGGCCUCAACUACUGAUUUGCAGCAAGAAGAAAGAAGUGAGGGAGUGUCUUUGACCACUCCUACUACUGCUUUUGAGAGCAAGACGCAAACAAAGCUAGUAUGUCCCCUUUGUCGUGGGGAGAUCAAAGAUUUUAUUGUCGUGGACCCUGCUCGACGUUUCAUGAACGCAAAGUCUAGAAGCUGUGCCUGUGAGACAUGUGAUUUUAGUGGUAGCUAUACAGAUCUCAGGAAGCAUGCAAGGCUUGAGCAUCCCCUUGUGCGACCAUCUGAAGCUGACCCGGAACGGCAACGUAGUUGGAGGAGGAUGGAGCGGCAGAGGGACCUUGAGGACUUGCUAAGCACUCUACAAUCUUCAUUUGGUGAGGAGAGGAGUGAUGACAGCAUUUUGCCCAUUGGUGAUGGGGGUUGGCUUACUGUCUACUUGCUUAUUCGUGUUUUUCGACCUGGGUCCAGUACGAGGAGCAGCAGCUGGUCUGGUAGCUCAAGAACCAGAGCGCAACUGAGUAUUAGAAGGAGAUCUACCCGACUAUGGGGAGAGAGCUAUGAUGGGGAAACCGUAUCUUCUUCCCGAGAUGAGGACAAUGAGUCUUCUGAUGGGGGCUCAGGCCCUAGGAGGCGCAGUGAGCGUAUCCGACAACGACGGACAAUGCCAGACCAGCCAUGAUGUUAUACAUGGGUUGUGUUCCAUUGAUUGUGGUUUUAAUUUUUUCAACUGUGGAACAGGAGUGGGAAGUUAUGUUGCUGGAGCAUUGGAGUCCGGUCUACUUGAAGUCAGACAAUUGUGCAUGGAAUUGAUGGCAUGUGAUCAUAGAAGUAAACUUGGAAGAGAAUCAAUUUAUACAUCCUUUAAAAAAGGGACAGCUUGUCCCUUCCAUCUUUCGUUGUGUUAAAAAAAAAGUACUUACUGUUUCUAAAACUACUUUUGUGGUGGAAGAAGUAUUAAUAUGGUUCUUAUUUGGAAGAUUGGUGCGCUUAAAAAUGAGUUGAGGUUGUUGCCCGAGUAGUAGUUGCAUUUGCUUCCAGGGCCAUGAGAGCUCGUUCCAGUGGGAAUGCUUUGUAGGGGUUGACGAAGGUUUUAUGGGUGUAAAAUUGUGAACUCUUGUUUAUUUCUUCACUAAAUGACACAGAUUCUUUUCCAAAA